UACGCCUCAUGGUGUACUGGGGUACUUCAGGGUGUUAAAAUAUCCAUAUCUACGGAUAUGAACGUAGAUAACUUAUAUUAUCCCCGGCUUAGUAUAUAUCUAGGAUUUUGAUUGGUUAACGCACGUCGUUACAAAACCCAUAGCCCCUGGGUGUUGCUAACCCAUAUCCCCGGACGUUGCUAACCAUUAUCCCGGGGAACUUCACGCAAGUUUUCCUUAGUUCCAUGAUUGCUCCUUGUGAAAUAUUAAAUUCUGUAGAUUAUCCAUGAUGUUUG
RNAcentral lists this long non-coding RNA (275 nucleotides) under Mytilus galloprovincialis (Mediterranean mussel). The record is from RNAcentral. Lineage: Eukaryota; Metazoa; Mollusca; Bivalvia; Mytilida; Mytilidae.